This 492-nucleotide ribosomal RNA is filed under the name uncultured bacterium. Its description in RNAcentral is "partial 16S ribosomal RNA". It matches the Rfam family "Bacterial small subunit ribosomal RNA", at positions 29 to 507 of the family's 1533-position model. The record is from RNAcentral.
AGUGAACGCUGGCGGUAGGCCUAACACAUGCAAGUCGAACGGCAGCACAGUAAGAGCUUGCUCUUACGGGUGGCGAGUGGCGGACGGGUGAGGAAUACAUCGGAAUCUACUUUUUCGUGGGGGAUAACGUAGGGAAACUUACGCUAAUACCGCAUACGACCUGCGGGUGAAAGCAGGGGAUCUUCGGACCUUGCGCGAUUGAAUGAGCCGAUGUCGGAUUAGCUAGUUGGCGGGGUAAAGGCCCACCAAGGCGACGAUCCGUAGCUGGUCUGAGAGGAUGAUCAGCCACACUGGAACUGAGACACGGUCCAGACUCCUACGGGAGGCAGCAGUGGGGAAUAUUGGACAAUGGGCGCAAGCCUGAUCCAGCCAUACCGCGUGGGUGAAGAAGGCCUUCGGGUUGUAAAGCCCUUUUGUUGGGAAAGAAAAGCAGCAGGCUAAUACCCCGCUGUUCUGACGGUACCCAAAGAAUAAGCACCGGCUAACUUCGUG